UGGUGGGGCGGUCUCCUUCGGCAACCCCGGCCGAACGGCCACCCAGAGGCUGUGCUGAGCUGGCGCAGCGGCAGCAGCAUGAGCCGGACCCUCGCAUCGGCCGUGCCCCUGUCGAGUCCCGACUACUACGAGAGGCUGGGCCAACUCCAGCACGGGCUGCGGGACAGUGAAAAGAAGAGAUUGGACCUGGAAAAGAAACUUUAUGAAUAUAAUCAGUCUGAUACAUGCAGGUUUCUUCCUCCACUAUUAAGAGCAGAUCUUAAAUAUUUUAAUUUCUAUUUUAUAAAAACUGAACUUUAUCCUUAAGCCAAAAGUAUGGCAUUACCUCUUAUAUUAUUCAUAUGAAGAACUUCUGGCUUUGAUAGCAUUAAGUUUGUAAUUUAUCCAUGUCACACUAUGAGUGAGAAAUGAAAAGAUCUCAUCCAGAAGAGAGAGAGGCCAAGAAUUCUU
RNAcentral lists this small RNA (450 nucleotides) under Pan troglodytes (chimpanzee). RNAcentral describes it as "processed transcript". Lineage: Eukaryota; Metazoa; Chordata; Mammalia; Primates; Hominidae. The record is from RNAcentral.